GAGCUCUCGCUCCCCACCGCGGGGUCUCGACGUGAGCCUCGGAGCAUUCAAAGGAAAGGUUUGCUCGGCGGAUAGCUCGCGCUUUUCACCCAUACCAACGCGGAGCACGACCAAAGGAAGUCACCUCAGCGCCACGGUUUCGGGUUUGUCUCCAGCUACUGACUUCGCAGCAUACUACGCACAGAAGUUUAUACUACAACUGUACCGCUCCCUUUAUGGUAAACCCGAACCAUCACUUUCUGAAGCUAUUUCCCGCCACUUCGUCCAAUCCCUCUUUUGGUCCUGGUAUUUCAUCGCAGCACGCACGACUCUGAAAGACCGCCGCCGCCCUUAUUACUCUGGUUCGACCAAUCGCUCUACUGACUGGACCUGGUACCAAUACUUGCGGUGGAGGUUGUCUCUGAUUUAAAUGGAAAAGGUUCACAAGAUUAUCCAGAACUUCCAGGAGUGCAUUUGUAAAAUGAAUUAAUAAAGUUUUUUUUU
This is a long non-coding RNA of Eriocheir sinensis (Chinese mitten crab), 483 nucleotides long. RefSeq lists it as uncharacterized. The transcript is spliced from 3 exons. Lineage: Eukaryota; Metazoa; Arthropoda; Malacostraca; Decapoda; Varunidae. The record is from RefSeq and is a predicted model, not a curated record.